UGAGCCUAGUGGCAAACGGGUGAGUAACGCGUAGGCAACCUGCCUCUAAGAUGGGGACAACAGCCCGAAAGGGCUGCUAAUACCGAAUGUUGUGAGUUUUCCGCAUGGAGAGCUCAUUAAAGAUGGCCUCUACUUGUAAGCUAUCACUUAGAGAUGGGCCUGCGUCUGAUUAGCUAGUUGGUGGGGUAACGGCUCACCAAGGCGACGAUCAGUAGCCGGUCUGAGAGGAUGAACGGCCACAUUGGGACUGAGACACGGCCCAGACUCCUACGGGAGGCAGCAGUGGGGAAUCUUCCGCAAUGGGCGAAAGCCUGACGGAGCAACGCCGCGUGAGUGAAAGAAGGUCUUCGGAUCGUAAAGCUCUGUCGAAGGGGACGAACGUAGUGCUUAUCAACAACGAGCGCUAAUGACGGUACCUCUCAAGAAAGCCACGGCUAACUACGUGCCAGCCGCGGC
RNAcentral lists this ribosomal RNA (456 nucleotides) under uncultured bacterium. RNAcentral's name for it is "bacterial SSU rRNA". It matches the Rfam family "Bacterial small subunit ribosomal RNA", at positions 87 to 518 of the family's 1533-position model. The record is from RNAcentral.